Long non-coding RNA from Larimichthys crocea (large yellow croaker), 322 nucleotides. RefSeq lists it as uncharacterized. The record is from RefSeq and is a predicted model, not a curated record. NCBI's taxonomy places the organism in Eukaryota, Metazoa, Chordata, Actinopteri, Sciaenidae. The transcript has 3 exons.
CAAGGAUAUUCACUACUCUGACUCUCCAAGGCCCACUUAAGAACUUGCACUGAGGAUGAAACAUUAACAAGCGCUGCCUACUUUGGGUUAGGGGGCAUACAGAGAUUUACUCAUGCAGGAUGGAUCUGUGGAUCUGAAUCUGAAUCCGGAUCUGUAAUACUGAGUCCACAGGAAGUUACGCUGAUCCACUGUGUCAGCUCAUCCAGACUCCCGAAGCUAUUGCUUAUGUGUUUGUGAUGCAGUUGUCAUCUCACCCCGAACAUUUGUCGGAGGUCAGGGUCACGGAAACGAAAAGGGAUGUUGGAGACAUGUAACCUCUUGG